AACGAACGCUGGCGGCGUGUUUAAGACAUGCAAGUCGCACGGAGGCAUUUAUGUAGCAAUACACGGAUGUCUGAGUGGCGCACGGGUGAGUAACACGUGAAUGACAUGCCCUUGAGAGGGGGAUAGCCCAGGGAAACUUGGAUUAAUACCCCAUGGUCUCGCGAGAGUAAAGGCGGCCGCAAGGCUGUCGCUUGAGGAUUGGUUCGCGUUCUAUCAGCUUGUUGGCGGGGUAACGGCCCACCAAGGCUACGACGGAUACCUGGUCUGAGAGGACGAUCAGGCACACUGGAACUGAGACACGGUCCAGACACCUACGGGAGGCAG
Molecule: ribosomal RNA, 324 nt
Filed under: uncultured Verrucomicrobiota bacterium
Lineage: Bacteria; Pseudomonadati; Verrucomicrobiota
Description: bacterial SSU rRNA
Rfam family: Bacterial small subunit ribosomal RNA
Source: RNAcentral